This is a long non-coding RNA of Mesocricetus auratus (golden hamster), 1341 nucleotides long. RefSeq lists it as uncharacterized. NCBI's taxonomy places the organism in Eukaryota, Metazoa, Chordata, Mammalia, Rodentia, Cricetidae. The transcript is spliced from 5 exons. The record is from RefSeq and is a predicted model, not a curated record.
CGCUAGGCUGCGCCCGCCUCUGUCCCCGCCUCUGCUCACGCCCCGGGGCGGUGAGGGUGCCAGCCUCCGAGCUGGGCAGCGAGUUCCGCCGAUCACGACGCCUUCCCACGUCGAUCCCAGAGGCCUGCCACCGGAAAGAAUCGCAGUUCUGCCUUGCUUUCGGGCUAGUUCUGAGAGAGCCAUUAAAGAGAGGUGCUCCUAGCUGCCCUGUCAGGGCUGAGUCAGCUUGGCCAGCUGGAAAACACCGAGUGCGACAGCGGCGACUGAGAACUGGCAAAUAAACGUUCAUCUGCCAUGGCGGGCUGUCGAGGAAGAAUGUGAUUAAUUUGUAACCCUCUAAAAUGCCCCAGAAGCUAGAGUCAUUUUUGAAUACCACAGAAGUACAACAUUCUUGGACUGGCCUGAGUCCCAUGCUGAACCAACAGCUCCCUCUGAAGUAACAAAGGUGGCCCCUGUGAAAGGGUUGUUUUACCCCCCACAAAGGAUUGGGAACCACUGGCCUAGUUUGUUUGCCAUACCAUAGGAAACAGUGUACAAGGUUUGCCUUUGGCUCGAUCCAAAAGGAUUCAAUUGGUCAGCUCUUGGAGCAUCUCCUUAGAAGGUCCAUCUAAAGGUGACAGCUAAUGCCCCAUCAGGAAUGGGAACAGAGCAGGCAGCAAAGGUACAAGUGAAAAUCAAAUUCUAACACGGAAGAUUUCUGGAGGGAACCAGGUUUCACAGACACCAUGAGAACCAAGUUACUGACCACGGGGCUGAGAGGAAGGUGAGUGAAGCUCACACAGGAUCACCACGCAAUGGAGGAAUAUUUGUGAUGCAUGUAUGUAGGUACACCGCAUACAUGAAGCAGAAGAUGGUAAAUCAUCUUGUGGUUGCUGAGAUUUGAACCUGGGUCCUCUGGAAAAGCUGCCAAUACUGUUACCUGCUAAGCCAAGUCUCCAGCCUAGGAUGGUUAAUCUUGAUGGUCAGUUUGCUUGGUUCUGAAAUCAACUGAAAGACACUUUUGAGCAUAUCUGUGAGAACAUUUCCAGAAGAGUUAACUGAGGGGAGAAGACUCUUCCCCAGACUGGGUGGCACUUUCCACAGAGCCCAGAAGAGGUGUAAGGAAAAGGUUUGCAUGAGUGCAUUUAUCCCUAUUGUCACUGCUGCCACCGUUUUCCCUGACAUCCAAAGAUUCUCCAGGGAUUUCCGAGGCUUUCAGUGUCAUAUUGGGACUUUUGCGGGAACUAGGCCGUUGGACUGAACAGCUACGUGGUUCUCUGUGUUUUCAGUGUAUAGACAACAAUCUUUGGAUGACAGGCUAUUAUUGUGUAAACCAAUUAAAUAAAUCCUGUUAUAACUGUA